RNAcentral lists this ribosomal RNA (1329 nucleotides) under uncultured archaeon. Its description in RNAcentral is "bacterial SSU rRNA". It matches the Rfam family "Archaeal small subunit ribosomal RNA". The record is from RNAcentral.
UGCGAGUCGAGAGGUGUUAAGACCUCGGCGUACUGCUCAGUAACACGUGGAUAAUCUGCCCUCAGGAGAGGAAUAAUCCCGGGAAACUGGGGCUAAUGCCUCAUAGGAGACGGGUGCUGGAAUGCUCUGUCUCCCAAAGGUCCGCCGCCUGAGGAUGAGUCUGCGGCCGAUUAGGUUGUUGUUGGGGUAACGGCCCAACAAGCCCGUGAUCGGUACGGGUUGUGGGAGCAAGAGCCCGGAGAUGGAUUCUGAGACAUGAAUCCAGGCCCUACGGGGCGCAGCAGGCGCGAAAACUUUACAAUGCGAGCAAUCGUGAUAAGGAAACCCUGAGUGCCUGUCAAUGCAGGCUGUUCUGGUGUUUAGCACGCACCAGGAGAAAGGGCGGGGCAAGACCGGUGCCAGCCGCCGCGGUAAUACCGGCUGCUCGAGUGAUAGCCGCUUUUACUGGGCUUAAAGCGUUCGUAGCUUGGUCGUUAAGUCUCUGGGGAAAUCUUCUGGCUUAACCAGAAGGCGUCUCAGUGAAACUAGCGACCUAGGAACCGGGAGAGGUGAGACGUACUUCGGGGGUAGGAGUGAAAUCUUGUAAUCCUCGAGGGACGACCGAUGGCGAAGGCAUCUCACCAGAACGGCUUCGACAGUGAGGGACGAAAGCUGGGGGAGCAAACCGGAUUAGAUACCCGGGUAGUCCCAGCCGUAAACGAUGUGCGUUAGGCGUGUCGGUGACCACGAGUCGCCGAGGUGCCGAAGGGAAACCGUGAAACGCACCGCCUGGGAAGUACGGUCGCAAGGCUGAAACUUAAAGGAAUUGGCGGGGGAGCACAGCAACGGGUGGAGCGUGCGGUUUAAUUGGAUUCAACGCCGGAAAACUCACCGGAGGCGACGGUUACAUGAAGGCCAGGCUGAUGACCUUGCCUGAUUUUCCGAGAGGUGGUGCAUGGCCGCCGUCAGUUCGUACCGUAAGGCGUUCUGUUAAGUCAGAUAACGAACGAGACCCUCAUUCUUAAUUGCUACUGACAACCCCGGUUGUCAGGCACAUUAUGAAGACCGCUGACGAUAAGUCAGAGGAAGGCGAGGGCAACGGUAGGUCAGUAUGCCCUGAAUCCUCCGGGCUACACGCGCGCUACAAAGGCCAGGACAAUGGGUUUCAACAUCGAAAGAUGAAGGUAAUCCCGAAACCUGGUCAUAGUUCGGAUUGAGGGUUGAAACUCACCCUCAUGAAGCUGGAAUCCGUAGUAAUCGCGGAUCAACAUCCCGCGGUGAAUAUGCCCCUGCUCCUUGCACACACCGCCCGUCAAACCAUGCGAGUUGGGUCAAAGUGAGGAUGUAGUA